GAAGAGCAGCUGGGUCAUGGUAAAGGCGCCCUGGUUUACCGCCCCUGUGCAGGGGGGUUUUGGUGGGAGUCCAUGGAGCUGUCCAUCGAGGAGGCGGGGUGCAUGUUCUGUAGCAGGUGGAACUAGGCCUCGCCCCUGAUGCCCCUUGGUCCCUGGGUGCAUCCUGCAGUUGGCACCCAGUUGCAUGCUGUCUUCCCCGUCAGACUUGCAGGGUAGAGGGGCAGCGCCAGUGACUGCCCUCCCACUUCCGCUUGGCAAGCCUUGCCUGCGUGGCGUCGCUGUUCUGCCCGCGUGUACUCUCACCUGUGGCGUGGGGAGAGCACCUGCUUCACCACACGAGGCUUCCUGCUCAUGAUGGUGCCGAGGGUCCCAGUGGGUGACCCUUUCUUCAGUUUCCAGGAAAACAAAACUUAAUUGAUGGGUGACAGGGAAGCAAUGCUGUGGUGGAGUGCCCCAGAGGUAAACCUUUUAUUGGAGAUAAUGGUGAUCACACGCCUUCUUGUGAGAAGGAGAACAAUCCCAUGUGCCCUUCACCUAGUUUCCUGCAGCGAAUGGUAGGAUCGUGAAAACUGCAGGACAAUCCUGCAAGCCAGAGGUGACGGG
Molecule: long non-coding RNA, 603 nt
Organism: Condylura cristata (star-nosed mole)
Lineage: Eukaryota; Metazoa; Chordata; Mammalia; Eulipotyphla; Talpidae
Exons: 4
Source: RefSeq, a predicted model, not a curated record